UACUAAUAAGGCCAGAGUGAGAUUUUUCAUUCUGCACAGGAGACUGAGGUGCUUCUUCAAUGUUUGUUCCUGAUACAUCAGCUUCAAAGGCUGCACUGGAAGAAGAAGAGAAGGUUGGACCCUGAGAGUAAUAUUGAGAACUUCGAUAGCCAUCCCUCCGCAGCUUGUCACAUUCUGCACAUGGGAGGCGUGAUCGUGCUCAAGAUUAACAGAUGCUGGAGCGUAAGGAAAAAUUAAAUGUUCAAGAUGCGACGACCAAACUGAUCCGCCGAGUCAAACUGUGAGUUUUACAUUUCCAGAGACUGAAAUCUGAAUCUGUUGCAAGAUUAGCAAAGCACAAAUAAAAAUAAGUAUUUAUUACACCUCUACCUAAGUAAUUGAAAUGUCUCCUGAACAGUGUACAUUGUCAUGAUGCAAACAGCUUUUGUCAUUACUUACUGGAGAAGAGAUGUUUUGAGAAUUAACAGUUUUGUGCUUGCUUCACUCCUUACCGUUUGACCUCUGUGUGUGUGUGUGUGUGUGUGCGCGCACGCAUAUAUAUAAAUAAAAAUUUCCAUUUUUUCUGAAUUGAGGGCACCUUUUAAGGAGCAAUUUUGCUUGGUGAAUCAUUAAAUGGAGUUACAACUUGCAAUGAGAGAAUAAUUUGGCUUUGUUUUACUGUUUAUUCAAAAGGUUCUCAAAUCUUAUACUCAACAAACUAGGUUUCCCCCACUGAUUCCUCUACUGUUUUCAACAAGACAUCUUGUGAAUAGCAAAGAAUACCAUACUCUAAGACAGCCUCCAAAACAAAAAUCCUUUUUACUGAAUACAGGCAUCUAAUUCUAUGAGACAAAGCCUGUUUUAAAUUGCAAUGUUUUUAAUGGAAUGCAAUACCAAGUUUCACAAUUAACUUAGGGGUGAGGGGAGAACAGGAUUAUGGCACAUGAUCUUCCCUGCCCCAUGAACCUCAUGAAUGCAGCAUAUUACAAGGCCACAUAUCUGGUUCAAGGCCUGGUGUUCUUGCUGUGAAGUCGCACAAUUGUCUUGGUUUCUAAAUCAUGGCUUUGUACAAUAAAGACAGGGUAUUGUGUUUAGUGGGCCCUUCUGCUAGUAUGUUCCAAUCUGUCCUCAAGAGCAGUUACUUUUUACCUCACUGUAACUUAACCGGGAACACCUAAGAUGAAGAAGACAUAUAUGUAGAAUGAUACUGCAAAAGACAACAGACCCCCAAUAUUACCCUCUAAAAAAAUGAAGGUGCAGCUUUUAAAGAUAAAUUGCGAAGUAAAAUAAAGAAGGUAUGUGGGCUGUAGUUGUUGUGAGUGUAACAGAUGGCAGUUUCCUGCAAUGUCCUAGUUAAACAUUAUUGAAUUAAGUUUAAGUAUUUUAGGAGUACACUGUAUUAAAAAUGUAAUUGUUUAUGCAUAAUUGAGGGAUUGUAUAUAAUCUCAUGAGGCGGGGGACCACCCCCCUCUAGGAACUAAGAAUAGUGGGGAGGUGGUUAGACAAAUUCACUCAGGUUGAAACACGUCUAGAGAGCUACCACCACCUGGAGAGAUGCUCAAAUAUACUGGUUCAAACUGGAUUUACUAGGGACUAACAGAGAAAAAGGAUUUUUGGUUAACUAGUUUGAGUAAAAACUGACUCAGGACCUUCUCUCUGAUCCAGCAAAUGGACAGAACCUCUAGUCCAAGGGGGGCCCCAAACCUUAGGGAAGUGUUGGAAAGACUAAUCACCAACCAGAGCCAUAAGAAUGGCUAUAUUGGGUCAGAUCAAGGGUCCAUCUAGCCAAGUAUCCGAUCUUCCAACAGUGGUCAUGGCAGAUGCUUCAGAGGGAAUGAACAGAACAGGACGAUUAUCAAAUGACCCAUCCACUGUCAUCUAGUCCCAGCUUCUAGCAGUCAGAGGUUUAGGGAUAACCGGAGCAUGGGGUUGCCUCCUUGACCAUCUUGGCUAAUAGCUACUGAUGGACCUAUCCUCCAUGAACUUAUCUCAUUCUUUUCUGAAUCUAGUUAUAGUUUUGGCAUUCACAACAUCCCUUGGCAAUGAGUCCAUGUUAGAGUUAGGCUGUGAUCUCUGAUAAGCUUAUUAGCAUGUGUGUAGGUUCUUUUAUUGUUUGUAAUAUAUUUUCUCUGUAAUGCUUUUAUCUUAAGAAUAAAAGUGCUC
Molecule: long non-coding RNA, 2142 nt
Organism: Malaclemys terrapin pileata
Lineage: Eukaryota; Metazoa; Chordata; Testudines; Emydidae
Exons: 3
Source: RefSeq, a predicted model, not a curated record